Molecule: ribosomal RNA, 303 nt
Filed under: uncultured bacterium
Lineage: Bacteria
Description: partial 16S ribosomal RNA
Rfam family: Bacterial small subunit ribosomal RNA
Source: RNAcentral
AGCAGUAGCCGCGGGAAUACAGAGGGUGCGAGCGUUAAUCGGAUUUACUGGGCGUAAAGCGUGCGUAGGCGGCUUCUUAAGUCGGAUGUGAAAUCCCUGAGCUUAACUUAGGAAUUGCAUUCGAUACUGGGAAGCUAGAGUAUGGGAGAGGAUGGUAGAAUUCCAGGUGUAGCGGUGAAAUGCGUAGAGAUCUGGAGGAAUACCGAUGGCGAAGGCAGCCAUCUGGCCUAAUACUGACGCUGAGGUACGAAAGCAUGGGGAGCAAACAGGAUUAGUUACCCCUGUAGUCCCUGUCUCUUAUAC